GAGUUUGAUCUUGGCUCAGAGCGAACGUUAGCGGCGGGCUUAACACAUGCAAGUCGAGCGAGAAAAGGGCUUCGGCCCUGAGUAAAGCGGCGGACGGGUGAGUAUCACGUAGGUAACCUUCCUUCGAGCGGGGGACAACGGUCCGAAAGGACCGCUAAUACCGCAUACGUUCCCAGGGACCUCGGUCCUUGGGAGGAGAGCUAGGUAGCAAUAUCCGGCACUCGAAGCGGGGCCUACGCCGCAUCAGCUAGUUGGUGGGGUAACGGCCUACCAAGGCAAAGACGCGUAGCUGGUCUGAGAGGAUGAUCAGCCACACUGGGACUGAGACACGGCCCAGACUCCUACGGGAGGCAGCAGUGGGGAAUAUUGGACAAUGGGCGCAAGCCUGAUCCAGCCACGCCGCGUGAGUGAUGAAGGCCUUCGGUCGUAAAGCUCUGUGGGAGGGACGAACCGCUGCACGUUAAUAUCGUGCAGCAUGACGGUACCUCCUUAGCAA
RNAcentral lists this ribosomal RNA (496 nucleotides) under uncultured delta proteobacterium. RNAcentral describes it as "bacterial SSU rRNA". It matches the Rfam family "Bacterial small subunit ribosomal RNA", at positions 9 to 489 of the family's 1533-position model. RNAcentral also lists the same sequence under 1 other name. The record is from RNAcentral. Lineage: Bacteria; Deltaproteobacteria.